This 462-nucleotide ribosomal RNA is filed under the name uncultured bacterium. RNAcentral describes it as "partial 16S ribosomal RNA". It matches the Rfam family "Bacterial small subunit ribosomal RNA", at positions 28 to 506 of the family's 1533-position model. The record is from RNAcentral.
GAUGAACGCUGACAGAAUGCUUAACACAUGCAAGUCUUUGGCGAAGCUGUGCUUGCUCAGCCUAGCCAAGGCGGACGGGUGAGUAACGCGUCAGGAACUUGCCCUGCAGUCAGGGAUAACAGACGGAAACGACUGAUAAGACCUGGUAAAGUCAGGCGGACUCAUGUCCAGCCUGAUGAAAAGAGAUGCUGCAGGAGAGCCUUGCGUCCUAUUAGCUUGUUGGUGGUGUAACGGCCCACCAAGGCGAUGAUAGGUAGCCGGCCUGAGAGGGUGGACGGCCACAGGGGGACUGAGAUACGGCCCUUACUCCUACGGGAAGCAGCAGGGGGGAAUAUUGGACAAUGGGGGCAACCCUGAUCCAGCGAUGCUGUGUGCACGAUGAAGGUUUUCGGAUUGUAAAGUGCUUUCAGCAGGGAAGAAAAAAAGGACGGUACCUGCAGAAGAAGCGACGGCUAAAUACGU